Molecule: non-coding RNA, 166 nt
Organism: Meleagris gallopavo (turkey)
Lineage: Eukaryota; Metazoa; Chordata; Aves; Galliformes; Phasianidae
Source: RefSeq, a predicted model, not a curated record
UUUUCUGCUUUUUUUUUUCUUAAGGUUAUUGCUAGAAUUGUAGAUGGGAGUAAAUUUGAUGAAUUCAAAGCCUUGUAUGGAGAUACUUUAAUCACAGGAUUUGCAAGAAUAUUUGGUUAUCCAGUAGGAAUUAUUGGAAACAAUGGAGUUCUCUUCUCAGAGUCAG